UACGGAGGGGGCAAGCGUUGUUCGGAAUUACUGGGCGUAAAGGGUUCGUAGGUGGCCAACUAAGUCAGACGUGAAAUCCCUCAGCUUAACUGGGGAACUGCGUCUGAGACUGGAUGGCUCGAGUGCAGGAGAGGAACGCGGAAUUCCAGGUGUAGCGGUGAAAUGCGUAGAUAUCUGGAGGAACACCGGUGGCGAAGGCGGCGUUCUGGACUGCAACUGACACUGAGGAACGAAAGCCAGGGGAGCAAACGGG
Molecule: ribosomal RNA, 253 nt
Filed under: uncultured bacterium
Lineage: Bacteria
Description: partial 16S ribosomal RNA
Rfam family: Bacterial small subunit ribosomal RNA
Source: RNAcentral